This 408-nucleotide ribosomal RNA is filed under the name uncultured bacterium. Its description in RNAcentral is "bacterial SSU rRNA". It matches the Rfam family "Bacterial small subunit ribosomal RNA", at positions 917 to 1322 of the family's 1533-position model. The record is from RNAcentral.
GGGCCCGCACAAGCGGUGGAGCAUGUGGCUUAAUUCGAGGCAACGCGAAGAACCUUACCUGGUCUUGACAUGCCCGUCAUAGUUUUCCGAAAGGAAUUCGUCAGUUCGGCUGGACGGUGCACAGGUGCUGCAUGGCUGUCGUCAGCUCGUGUCGUGAGAUGUUCGGUUAAGUCCGGCAACGAGCGCAACCCUCGUUCCUAGUUGCCAGCGGGUAAUGCCGGGGACUCUAGGAAGACAAACCUCGUGUAGAGGUGGGAAGGUGGGGACGACGUCAAGUCAGUAUGGCCCUUACGACCAGGGCUGCACACGUGCUACAAUGCCCAGCACAAUGGGAUGCAACACCGCGAGGUUGAGCAAAUCCACAAAACUGGGCCCAGUUCGGAUUGGAGUCUGCAACUCGACUCCAUG